Molecule: ribosomal RNA, 910 nt
Filed under: uncultured bacterium
Lineage: Bacteria
Description: bacterial SSU rRNA
Rfam family: Bacterial small subunit ribosomal RNA
Source: RNAcentral
UGAAUAAGGAUCGGCUAACUCCGUGCCAGCAGCCGCGGUAAUACGGAGGAUCCAAGCGUUAUCCGGGAUUUAUUGGGUUUAAAGGGAGCGUAGGUUGACAUAUAAGUCAGCUGUGAAAGUUUACGGCUCAACCGUGAGAUUGCAGUUGAUACUGUAUGUCUUGAGUGUACAAGAGGUGGGCGGAAUUCGUGGUGUAGCGGUGAAAUGCUUAGAUAUCACGAAGAACUCCAAUUGCGAAGGCAGCUCACUGGGGUACAACUGACACUGAGGCUCGAAAGUGUGGGUAUCAAACAGGAUUAGAUACCCUGGUAGUCCACACAGUAAACGAUGAAUACUCGCUGUUUGCGAUAUACAGUAAGCGGCCAAGCGAAAGCAUUAAGUAUUCCACCUGGGGAGUACGCCGGCAACGGUGAAACUCAAAGGAAUUGACGGGGGCCCGCACAAGCGGAGGAACAUGUGGUUUAAUUCGAUGAUACGCGAGGAACCUUACCCGGGCUUGAAUUGCAGAGGAACAUAGUUGAAAGAUUAUGGCCGCAAGGUCUCUGUGAAGGUGCUGCAUGGUUGUCGUCAGCUCGUGCCGUGAGGUGUCGGCUUAAGUGCCAUAACGAGCGCAACCCUUAUCAUUAGUUACUAACAGGUCAUGCUGAGGACUCUAGUGAGACUGCCGUCGUAAGAUGUGAGGAAGGUGGGGAUGACGUCAAAUCAGCACGGCCCUUACGUCCGGGGCUACACACGUGUUACAAUGGGGGGUACAGAGGGCAGCUACCGGGCGACCGGAUGCCAAUCCCAAAAACCUCUCUCAGUUCGGAUCGAAGUCUGCAACCCGACUUCGUGAAGCUGGAUUCGCUAGUAAUCGCGCAUCAGCCACGGCGCGGUGAAUACGUUCCCGGGCCUUGUACACACCGCCCGU